Mus musculus (house mouse) is the source of this 3717-nucleotide long non-coding RNA. RefSeq annotates it as predicted gene, 36090. The transcript is spliced from 6 exons. The record is from RefSeq and is a predicted model, not a curated record. NCBI's taxonomy places the organism in Eukaryota, Metazoa, Chordata, Mammalia, Rodentia, Muridae.
GUAUUUUCUUGUGGGUAAGUUUUUCCUCCCCAUUUAAUUCACUCAUUAAACAAAUAUUUGUUGUAUCCGUAACACUGCUGAUACAAGAAGGGAUGUUGAAACUGCAACAUGCAAGACUGUUUUCUAGAGACUAUGGCAACAAUGUCUCCCUUCCAUAAUUCUUCUACAGUAUAACCUAGCUAUUCACCUUUUAUGAGGUGCAACUGGGGCUACUGGGAUGGCUCAGUGGAUAAAGGUGCUGUUGCAAACCAUGAAGAUCUGAGUUCUAUCCCCGGGACUCGCAUGGCGAAACUCUUGCAAGUUGUCCUCUAACUGUCAUCUCAAUGGCACAUGCUUGCACACACACCCUCACACAUAAACGCACAGAGGAAUAACUGCAAAAACAUUUUUUAAAGAAAACAUGUGGUUGGUUGUUUGUUUGAUAAGUGAAAUUGACUUCCCCAUUCACUUGAACGCUGGUGGAUCUUCCAACUGUUCCCACUCAGAGAAUAGAGCAGUAGGUCUGGAGGUAUAGCGCAGUGGUAAAGCACUUCCCUGGCAUAUUCAAGGCCACAUGGUUGAGCCUUGACAUUGGAAAAAAAAAAUACCAAAAAUCUAAUUCAUUGAGUAUUCAAGACUUGAUUGCUGGGGAUUAGCAAUCCAUAGCUCUCUGACAUAACCACAUGUUAGAGUCAUCACCUCAUCAGCAUCUAUGGCCUCUUAUUUACAAGAAGUGAGAAACCAACCAGGCAUGGUGUAGCACAGCUUUAAUCUCAGUACUUGGGAUGCAGAGGCAGAUAGAAUUUGAGGCCAGCCUGGUCUACAGAGCAAGUUCCAGGACAGCCAGGACUACACGGAGAAACCCUGUCUUGAAAAACCAAAAGAGAAGAAGCAUGAGACCAGCAGCAUGGAGAACCUGGAAAUGGAGAUGUUCCGCUGGUCAGGGGCUACCACAGUUGAGUCGCUUGUUGGCGGAACUCUCUCUGGUCAAAGCUCCAACAGUAAAACCACGCAGCCAUGGUGACGGAGUGCUGAGAUUAUUACAGGGAAAUCAUGAAAACCAUCACUCAUGGAAACCUAACUUCACCAAAGGAGUCCUUGAGACAUACGGCCACCAUGACAGGAAAUCUAUUGGAUGAAACUGGAAAGAGAGAAGCCAGAAAAAGAAAGACCAAAGCUUUGUUCCUGUAGGCGGGCACCAGGAAGCAUGGCUACUCUACUGAUGGCUGUAAGGGUGGAAUAGCCCCAGUAAAUAACACGAUCUUGGGGUUCAUGGUGUGUUCAGAUAUCCCGCAACAGCAAGUCAUUCAGACGAUCAGUGCUGCUCUCUUAGCAGGGGACACUCCUCAAGCAGGACUGGAUUAAUCCAUGGGAGCGAGCAGCUGAGCCGUGAGAAGCCAGAAAGCCUGAUGUGGUCCACCCCUUUCCCUGGAAUCACUCCUUUCCAUGUGGGCUGAAUGCCCACGUGCAGCUGUCUGAUCUCAGGAUUUCUAUCAUCCAGAGUAUUCUCUGGAAGCUCCAGCGGGGUUGGCCCAGCUCCUGGCUUCCUCUCCUGGCAACAGCCUCAGGUCUUUUUGAUGAAUUGAAUGAGAAGUGGAGCCCUCAGGUCCAGUCCUGAUCCUGCAGCAGGUGCUUGCUCAUGAAGCUUACACAGAACUCAUGUGACCACGAAGCCAAGGUGGCCGAGAGAAGGCAGCUUCCUGGAAUCUCAGCCUUCCACCAGGCCAGGAGCCAGUCUGCUGCUUCUGUCUGCCUGUACCAAGCAUCUCCCUCAGAGGGAGGAGCCAUGGCCCCAGAAGAUGCUAAGCACUAAAGGAGGCCAUAUGCUUCUACCUUACCAGGUUUUCCGAUGCCCGUGGAGGUCAGAAGAGGGUACCGGACCAAUGGAAUUCAGGUGGCUGUGGUGAGCGCUGUGGGUUGUGAGAACUGAACCUGGGUCCUCUGUAAGAAGGACAAGAGCUCAUGACUGCUUAUCUUCUCUCUGGCCCCUCAUUUUACCUUCACGGGGUCUUGCGUGGCCCAGCCUCACCUCUGAGCUGCUGCUCAGAGAAGGUGGUGGAGAGACUUCAAAGAAUGAAACAAGAUGGCGUGACCCCGGGCCCUUUGAAACUGAGCCAGACCUGGAAUCCAGCCCCUGCCUGCUUUCUUCUGCACUGAAGAAUAAGGACCUUCUAAGCCUUGUGUAUCCGCUCUUCCUUAGCCUGGGAUCGGGGGUUCAAGACCAUUCUCGCCCACUACACAGCAUGUGUGGAGCUGGGCUGGUCACGUGAGAACCCUGCCUUAAUUAAUUAAUUAAUUAAUUAAUGAGUUUUGGAAACUUUCUCUUGGCCUUCCAUGUGUUUUGGUAUCAGGUUUCACCUGGUAUUAUUUGUUAGUGAGAGUUUCACAUCUAAUUGCUGUCCCACCCCCAGGGCUGGGUAUGGGACUCCUGCAUCCAUCCACAGCUACCUAGCUCCUCUUUGCCCUGUGACCUGCACCACUCUCUUCAUAGCAGCUACCACAACUGGAAACACGUACCUUACCUUCACGGAUGUUCUUGCCCCCGCUAAGCCAUCAGCUCCUGGACCACAGGGGCAGGAGACUGGGUCCUGUGGUCACUGCUGUGACCCAGUGCCUGGGACACACAGGAUAUGCUCACCUGAAACAUGACCACUGACUACCCGUUGCUGCCCCCCCCUCCCCCACCCCCACCCCGGUACCGGUAUGAUCUCAAAGUCUUGACUGGACUGGAUUGUAAAGUUUUCUGGGGUCUUCACAACCAAUGAGGCAGGUGCCUUCACCCUCACUUCCAUUUUACAGAAAUGGUGGAUCAGUGGUUUGGCUGCCUCUGCCAUCAAGCCUGAGUGUGUGUGUAUGCGUGCGCGUGCAUGUGCAUGUGUGUCUCUCAGAUGGGUGCCCCCGCACUGUCUUGUCUGUGCUUCCAGCCCUCACGAGUACACUCUUCCUAAGAAAGGAUCCUAGGUGUGUGAGUGGACGAAUCCGUGUCUACCUAACACCCACACCUGGAUGCUCCUUAGGUGCCUUGGUCUCAAGGUCACAGACAUCCUCCUCGACCACACCCUUGAUUGCUCAGGCCAGAAAAGUCAACCAUCACCCUCUGUCUUUUCUGUCCCUCGCCACCACGUGCCAUCUACCAACUACCAUCUAUGUGCCAUCUACUAGGAAAGCACCCCUAACUGUUCUCUGGUGAGCCAAGAAUACUGUCUUCUUCCAGCUAAUCAGUUGCCAUGACCACUGCUGCCUGGGUGCCUCCCCCCACCCCCUUCAUUCACUCUUGUCUUAGGGUUUCACUGUUGGGAACAGACAGCAUGACCAAGGCAACUCUUUUUUUUUAAGACCUAUUUAUUAUUAUACAUAAGUACACUAUAGCUGACUUCAGACGCACCAGAAGAGGGCAUCAGAUCUUACUACGGAUGGUUGUGAACCACCAUGUGGUUGCUGGGAUUUGAACUCAGAACCUUUGGAAGAGCAGUCAGUGCUCUAACCCGCUGAGCCAUCUCUCCAGCCCCCCAAGGCAACUCUUAUAAAUUAUGACAACAUUUAAUUGGGGCUGGCUUACAGGUUCAGAGGUUCAGUCCACUAUCAUCAAGGCAGGAACAUAGUAGAAUCCAGGCAGACAUGGUGCAGGAGGAGCUGAGAGUUCUACAUCUUCAUCUGAAGGCUGGCUUUCAGGCAGCUAGGAUGAGGGUCUUAAAGCCCACACCCACACUGACACACCUACACCAACGAGACCACACC